RNAcentral lists this ribosomal RNA (404 nucleotides) under uncultured bacterium. Its description in RNAcentral is "bacterial SSU rRNA". It matches the Rfam family "Bacterial small subunit ribosomal RNA", at positions 355 to 776 of the family's 1533-position model. The record is from RNAcentral.
UGGGGAAUAUUGCACAAUGGGGGGAACCCUGAUGCAGCAACGCCGCGUGAGUGAAGAAGUAUUUCGGUAUGUAAAGCUCUAUCAGCAGGGAAGAAAAUGACGGUACCUGACUAAGAAGCACCGGCUAAAUACGUGCCAGCAGCCGCGGUAAUACGUAUGGUGCAAGCGUUAUCCGGAUUUACUGGGUGUAAAGGGAGCGCAGGCGGUGGGGCAAGUCAGAUGUGAAAACCCGGGGCUCAACCCCGGGACUGCAUUUGAAACUGUCCGACUAGAGUGCCGGAGAGGUAAGUGGAAUUCCUAGUGUAGCGGUGAAAUGCGUAGAUAUUAGGAGGAACACCAGUGGCGAAGGCGGCUUACUGGACGGUAACUGACGCUGAGGCUCGAAAGCGUGGGGAGCAAACAGG